RNAcentral lists this ribosomal RNA (459 nucleotides) under uncultured bacterium. RNAcentral describes it as "partial 16S ribosomal RNA". It matches the Rfam family "Bacterial small subunit ribosomal RNA", at positions 338 to 795 of the family's 1533-position model. The record is from RNAcentral.
CCUACGGGAGGCAGCAGUGAGGAAUAUUGGUCAAUGGUCGGGAGACUGAACCAGCCAAGCCGCGUGAGGGAUGAAGGUACAGAGUUUCGUAAACCUCUUUUGUCAGGGAACAAAGGCGGGGACGUGUCCCCGGAUGAGUGUACCUGAAGAAAAAGCAUCGGCUAACUCCGUGCCAGCAGCCGCGGUAAUAGGGAGGAUGCGGGCGUUAUCCGGAUUUAUUGGGUUUAAGGGGUGCGCAGGCGGUCUGUUAAGUCAGCGGUAAAAGCCCGGGGUUCAACCCCGGCCCGCCGUUGAAACUGGCAGUCUCGAGUUGGAUAGAGGUAUGCGGAAUGCGCGGUGUAGCGGUGAAAUGCAUAGAGAUCGCGCAGAACUCCGAUUGCGAAGGCAGCAUGCCGGCUCCACACUGACGCUGAGGCACGAAAGCGUGGGUAUCGAACAGGAUUAGAUACCCCUGUAGUC